UCCGGCGUGGUCUAGUGGCUAGGAUACCUGGCUUUCACCCAGGAGGCCCGGGUUCGAUUCCCAGCGUCGGAA
Molecule: transfer RNA, 72 nt
Filed under: Rhipicephalus sanguineus (brown dog tick)
Lineage: Eukaryota; Metazoa; Arthropoda; Arachnida; Ixodida; Ixodidae
Description: transfer RNA glutamic acid (anticodon UUC)
Rfam family: tRNA
About the family: Transfer RNA (tRNA) molecules are approximately 80 nucleotides in length. Their secondary structure includes four short double-helical elements and three loops (D, anti-codon, and T loops).
Source: Rfam by way of RNAcentral